CAGCAGUGGGGAAUCUUCCACAAUGGGCGAAAGCGUGAUGGAGCAACGCCGCCUGAGUGAAGAAGGCCUUCGGGUCGUAAAGCUCUGUCCUUGGGGAAGAACCGUAGUGAUAGCAAAUGAUCUCCACCUGACGGUACCCAUGGAGGAAGCACCGUCUAAUUACUUGCCAGCAGCCGCGGUAAUACUUAGAGUGCAACCGUUGUCCGGAAUCAUUGGGCGUAAAGGGUACGCAGGCGGAUAAUCAAUUCUAAUGUGAAAACUACCGGCUUAACUGCUAGAAUGCGUUUGAAACUGUUUAUCUUGAGUGCAGCAGAGGAGAGCGGAAUUCCUAGUGUAGUGGUGGAAUACGUAGAUAUUAGAAAGAACACCACUGGCGAAGGCGGCUCUCUGGGCUGACACUGACGCUGAGGUACGAAAGCAUGGGGGAGCAGACCGGCAUUAGAUACCCCGGUAGUCCCACCCGUAAACGAUGGACAUCAGGUGUUGGGGGUUCGACUCCCUCAGUGCCGAGCUAACGCAUUAGUAUCCCUGGACUAGACGG
This 541-nucleotide ribosomal RNA is filed under the name uncultured bacterium. Its description in RNAcentral is "bacterial SSU rRNA". It matches the Rfam family "Bacterial small subunit ribosomal RNA", at positions 349 to 885 of the family's 1533-position model. The record is from RNAcentral.